Molecule: ribosomal RNA, 301 nt
Filed under: uncultured bacterium
Lineage: Bacteria
Description: partial 16S ribosomal RNA
Rfam family: Bacterial small subunit ribosomal RNA
Source: RNAcentral
CAGUAGCCGCGGUAAUACGUAGGGCGCAAGCGUUGUCCGGAAUUAUUGGGCGUAAAGAGCUCGUAGGCGGUCUGUCGCGUCUGGUGUGAAAUCCCGAGGCUCAACCUCGGGCUUGCAUCGGGUACGGGCAGACUAGAGUGCGGUAGGGGAGACUGGAAUUCCUGGUGUAGCGGUGGAAUGCGCAGAUAUCAGGAGGAACACCGAUGGCGAAGGCAGGUCUCUGGGCCGCAACUGACGCUGAGGAGCGAAAGCAUGGGGAGCAAACAGGAUUAGAUACCCCUGUAGUCCCUGUCUCUUAUAC